CAUUAUCCAAGAUGGCCGCCAGCGGGGGACUUAGUUUAACAUAGGACCCUAUUGGAAAUGCAUACAAAUCACUUCUUCUAGUGAACCACUGAAUGGAAUGAAACCAAACAUGGCAUGAAUGUUCCUUAUGUGGUGCUGACCAAGUGUUGUUACUUUGUAGCCGAUCCAUCAUCCAAGAUGGCCGCCAGCGUGGGACUUAGUUUAACAUAGGACCCUAUGGGAAAUGCAUACAAAUGACUUCUUUUAGAGAACCACUGAAUGGAAUGAAAUCAAACAUGGCAUGAAUGUUCCUAAUGUGGUGCUGACCAAGUGUUGUUACUUUGUAGCCGAUCCAUUAUCCAAGAUGGCCGCCAGCGGGGGACUUAGUUUAACAUAGGACCCUAUGGGAAAUACAUACAAAUGACUUCUUUUAGAGAACCACUGAAUGGAAUAAAACCAAACAUUGCAUGAAUGUUCCUUAUGAGGUGCUGACCAAGUGUUGUUACUUUGUAGCCGAUACAUCAUCCAAGAUGGCCGCCAGCAGGGGACUUAGUUUAACAUAGGACCCUAUGGGAAAUGCAUACAAAUGACUUCUUUUAGAGAACCACUGAAUGGAAUAAAACCAAACAUGGCAUGAAUGUUCCUUAUGAGGUGCUGACCAAGUGUUGUUACUUUGUAGCCGAUCCGUCAUCCAAGAUGGCCGCCAGUGGGG
This 691-nucleotide long non-coding RNA is filed under the name Mytilus galloprovincialis (Mediterranean mussel). Lineage: Eukaryota; Metazoa; Mollusca; Bivalvia; Mytilida; Mytilidae. The record is from RNAcentral.